AAAAGGCCGAUGAAUAAGGGGAGGGCAAGUCUGGUGUCAGCCGCCGCGGUAAUACCAGCUCCUCGAGUGGUCGGGACGAUUAUUGGGCCUAAAGCACCCGUAGCCGGUUCUGUAGGUCCUCUGUCAAAUCCAACGGCUUAACCGUUGGCCCGCAGAGGAUACCGCAGGACUAGGAGGCGGGAGAGGUGGACGGUACUCGACGUGUAGGGGUAAAAUCCUUUGAUCCGUCGAAGACCACCAGUGGCGAAGGCGGUCCACCAGAACGCGCUCGACGGUGAGGGAUGAAAGCUGGGGGAGCGAACCGGAUUAGAUACCCGGGUAGUCCCAGCCGUAAACGAUGCAAGCUAGAUGAUCCGGUCGCAAAUCGCGAUCGGAGUGUCGCAGGGAAGCCGUUAAGCUUGCCGCCUGGGGAGUACGGUCGCAAGACUGAAACUUAAAG
This 439-nucleotide ribosomal RNA is filed under the name uncultured archaeon. Its description in RNAcentral is "bacterial SSU rRNA". It matches the Rfam family "Archaeal small subunit ribosomal RNA", at positions 422 to 861 of the family's 1478-position model. The record is from RNAcentral.